Molecule: ribosomal RNA, 253 nt
Filed under: uncultured bacterium
Lineage: Bacteria
Description: partial 16S ribosomal RNA
Rfam family: Bacterial small subunit ribosomal RNA
Source: RNAcentral
UAAGAAGGGGGCUAGCGUUGUUCGGAAUCACUGGGCGUAAAGCGCACGCAGGCGGAUCGAUAAGUCGGGGGUGAAAGCCCGGGGCUCAACCUCGGAAUUGCCUUCGAUACUGUCGGUCUCGAGUCCGGGAGAGGUGAGUGGAAUUCCUAGUGUAGAGGUGAAAUUCGUAGAUAUUAGGAAGAACACCAGUGGCGCAAGCGUUCUGCUGGGCUGUAACUGACACUGAGGCACGAAAGCUAGGGGAGCGAAAGGG